Molecule: ribosomal RNA, 482 nt
Filed under: uncultured bacterium
Lineage: Bacteria
Description: partial 16S ribosomal RNA
Rfam family: Bacterial small subunit ribosomal RNA
Source: RNAcentral
AUUGAACGCUGGCGGCAUGCUUUACACAUGCAAGUCGAACGGUAACAGGCCGCAAGGUGCUGACGAGUGGCGAACGGGUGAGUAAUGCAUCGGAACGUGCCCAGUCGUGGUGGAUAACUACUCGAAAGAGUAGCUAAUACCUCAUACGAUCUAUUGAUGAUAGCGGGGGACCGUAAUGCCUAGCGCGAUUGGAGCUGCCGAUGUCAGAUUAGGUAGUUGGUGGGGUAAAGGCUCACCAAGCCAACGAUUUGUAGCUGGUCUGAGAGGACGACCAGCCACACUGGGACUGAGACACGGCCCAGACUCCUACGGGAGGCAGCAGUGGGGAAUUUUGGACAAAGGGCGCAAGCCUGAUCCAGCAAUGCCGCGUGCAGGAAGAAGGCCUUCGGGUUGUAAACUGCUUUUGUACGGAACGAAACGGCUCUGGUUAAUACCCGGGGCUAAUGACGGUACCGUAAGAAUAAGCACCGGCUAACUACGUG